RNAcentral lists this microRNA precursor (77 nucleotides) under Octodon degus (degu). Its description in RNAcentral is "miRNA (ENSODEG00000022245.1)". The record is from RNAcentral. Lineage: Eukaryota; Metazoa; Chordata; Mammalia; Rodentia; Octodontidae.
CUGCAGCUCACUUUGCAGCCCAGGCUGGCCUGAAACUCACAGUGAUUCUCUUGCCUUAGCCUCCUGAGUGCUAGGAU